Molecule: transfer RNA, 65 nt
Filed under: Abraeinae sp. MJTNT-2012
Lineage: Eukaryota; Metazoa; Arthropoda; Insecta; Coleoptera; Histeridae
Description: tRNA-Ser
Source: RNAcentral
AUUAAUGAACUUGAAUAAGUGUAUAUUUUGAAAAUAUAAAAAAGAGUUUUAAUCUCUAUUAAUUU